Oreochromis aureus is the source of this 59-nucleotide microRNA precursor. The record is from Ensembl. Lineage: Eukaryota; Metazoa; Chordata; Actinopteri; Cichliformes; Cichlidae.
AGCUACAUGUCAACUGAUUUGAUUAUGACUUUGUGGACAGACCAGUUGAUGUUCAGCUG